Molecule: ribosomal RNA, 1149 nt
Filed under: Triticum aestivum (bread wheat)
Lineage: Eukaryota; Viridiplantae; Streptophyta; Magnoliopsida; Poales; Poaceae
Description: partial small subunit ribosomal RNA
Source: RNAcentral
AUGGCAGCACUGGCAGGUCAGAGGCUUCCUCCUAUAAACACAGGACAAAGAGGUGCUCCUCCAGGCUUCAGUAGACCCAAUUUCCAAGAUCUGUUAUCUGAAGGUCCAAGUCCAACAGGUCAAAUGAAAAAUGCCCACACUUCUCUGUUUCCUCCUGUCCCACAGCAAAAUGCUACUGAUGCAUGGGCAGAUUACAGCAAGUCUUAUGAAAAAGAAAUGAGAACUCAGUUUCUAAAAUCCAUUACCAAAGGACCAAAAAUGGACUUUCCUCGAUUUGAUGGUGAAAAUCCAAGUGGAUGGAUCAGGCAAUGUGAGAAAUACUUCCAAAUGGCUGGGGCACCUAAUGAUUACAAAGUAUCACUGGCACAAAUGUACAUGGUGGGGAAGAAGAUUACUUGGCCUCAACUCUGCGAACAAGUUCUCCACAGGUUUCCCCCCACUAGUUCUUAUGAUCUCACUGAGAGAUUCAACUCACUGAAACAGAAAAACCUAAGUAUCAAUGAAUACACAGAUCUCUUUGAAGACCUCAUGGCAGAACUACAAUUGGACAACCCUACCCUCUCUGAACAGUGGUUUGUUAAAUGUUAUGUCAAUGGAAUGAGAUCUGCAAUCAAGUUUCAGUUUAGACCCUUAAGACCACCUACCUUAACUGAAGCUUACUGGUUGGCAAUUGACAUGGAACAGUGUGCUCCUCCAAGGAAAUCACACCACCAAAAUACCCUACCUAACUCCAAAUCUCCUUACAAUGCUUACAAAUCUAGUGCUGCUGAUAGCAAGACUAUGGAUAAGCAAACUGGACAUACACAAAGAGCUAGAGAACCAGGAAAGUGUUGGAGAUGUGGGGAUGCUUGGUUUCAUGGUCACAAAUGCAAACAAGCUCCUGUCAUAAAUGUCCUAACAGGAGAAGAACCUACUGAAAAUGCUGAUGAGCCAGACUCAGUAUCUGAAGAUGAGCAAGAAGAAUCUACUAAGGAAGAGGACAAAUGCAUGAAAAUAUCCCAACAAGCAUUAAAUCCUGAGGGAGCUAAAACAAUGUCUGUCCUGGUUAAAAUUGGUGGAAAAACAACUGUGGCCCUAGUUGACACUGGCAGUAAUUCUACUUUCAUGAACAUCCACUUUGCCUUGCAGACUUCCUGCACAAUUCUAUAG